RNAcentral lists this small RNA (134 nucleotides) under Salmonella enterica. RNAcentral's name for it is "RtT sRNA". It matches the Rfam family "RtT RNA". Rfam says of the family: This family represents a bacterial cis-regulatory element known as RtT RNA. Lineage: Bacteria; Pseudomonadati; Pseudomonadota; Gammaproteobacteria; Enterobacterales; Enterobacteriaceae. The record is from RNAcentral. RNAcentral also lists the same sequence under 1 other name.
UGUAUCUGAAGUCUGACGAGGAUGAGAACCUCCGGGGGCAAGAUGUUCGACUCGAGCGAAGCGAGAGAACGUUGCGUCAGCAACGGCCCGCAGGGCGAGCCACGCAGUGGCGAGUCAUCCUCUAUCACCGACCA